UGAUGCGUGGGGACCUCUACCACAUUGCUGGAGAGCAGUCUUAGAAAAUUUGUUCUGCUUUAGAAUCGUCAGUUAAGAGAACUGCCAAUAAUAUGUAGUUUAACCCUGUUACUUCAUAGAACAGGGGCCUGAGAAGAAGGAACUGACAAUGAUUUACCCAAGGUCAUAAAGCUACAGAUAAAGAAAAUCAUGGUUCAAGCUUAGAUGUCCUUCUCUGUAGCCCAACACAUGGUGAAAUCCAUGCUCUAGAGAUCAACGAAAUCAGACUCAGGGCAAAAAUGAGACCACAAGCAGAAGGCUGGAAUCCGAGCAGGGGUGGAAGUGCUUUGAAAAUAUGCCUUCAUUGAGCGUGGCAUGCACUUUAUUUGUACAAAGUCUAACCUCACUUCUGAAAGUGGAGUUGGAAUCACUCAUUCUGACAGCACAUAAUGGACAUAUUUUCCACUAUGCUGUGUUUUUGCUUCAAGUGAGAUUAUUCAACAUCUUAUAAAGCAGCUUUUACCAUUUCGUGACAAGUUUGAUAAGACAAUGGGGAUAAAACCUGAUGGAAGACAUAUUAUUCAAGAGUAAAUUCAAAAUAGUGAUCAACCUAUUUUGGGAGAAGAAUUUGCCAAGUUUGAACAACCAUAAAGGAGAUACACAUCAGCAAUGAGAAGAUAAUAAGUAGCUCGGCAUUAUAAAACACACCAAAAUUAAUUGUAGGUUUUUUUUUUCCCCCAUACCCACUUCAUCAAAGAGACUGUGUACACAUGCAAAUGGAGAUAAAGACUUCUUCCACCAGAGAUAUAGGUCAAAAUGUCACAGUUUAGAAGGAUGAAACGACUUUUUGUCUACUUUAAAUGUACUCAACCAAGUAAAUAAUUAUAUUGGCUUAUUCAUUAUGUGAACACAUAAUAUAUCCUUGUCCGUGAUGCUUACAGAAUUCCAGUGAAAUCGGCGGUAAUUUUUAC
Molecule: long non-coding RNA, 950 nt
Organism: Loxodonta africana (African savanna elephant)
Lineage: Eukaryota; Metazoa; Chordata; Mammalia; Proboscidea; Elephantidae
Exons: 6
Source: RefSeq, a predicted model, not a curated record